This 362-nucleotide transfer-messenger RNA is filed under the name Gammaproteobacteria (g-proteobacteria). RNAcentral's name for it is "UBA4575 sp002386945 Standard tmRNA". It matches the Rfam family "transfer-messenger RNA". Rfam says of the family: Bacterial tmRNA, also known as 10Sa RNA or SsrA, is named for its dual tRNA and mRNA-like properties. Its role is to liberate the mRNA from a stalled ribosome. RNAcentral also lists the same sequence under 4 other names. The record is from RNAcentral. Lineage: Bacteria; Pseudomonadati; Pseudomonadota.
GGGGGCGACCUGGCUUUCGACGCCGGUUGCGAAUCUGGAGGUGCAUGCCGAGGAAGUAGUACUCCUCGUUAAAUAAGACUGCAAAUUUAUAGUCGCAAACGACGACAACUUCGCUCUAGCUGCUUAAAAACCAGUCGUAGAGUCGUCCGCCCGGUUGAGCUUGCGCGAUCGGAUCCGGGCGUCACCUUAGCAAGCUCGUGACAAAAUCUGCCUGAGGUGGAGUCACUAAAACAAUUUUCAGGCUCGCGGUUAAACGUCCUGCUCGUCGGUCGCUAACUGUAAAAUUAAAAGACGAAACUAAGCAUGUAGUACCAAGAGUGCAGGACUGACGGACGCGGGUUCAAUUCCCGCCGCCUCCACCA